This 624-nucleotide long non-coding RNA is filed under the name Betta splendens (Siamese fighting fish). RNAcentral describes it as "lncRNA (ENSBSLG00000016931.1)". The record is from RNAcentral. Lineage: Eukaryota; Metazoa; Chordata; Actinopteri; Anabantiformes; Osphronemidae.
GCCAUUUAAGUCACCGCGGAGGAAGAGUAAAAAAAAAGCGUUUGUUUUAUGAUACAGCUGGUACCGGAUGCGCCUCAGAGGUAUCUUUUAACCUUAAAAGACGGGCUGUUUUGCUGCAUAGCUGGAGCCCCAUAGAGGCUAUUACAAACGGGGCCACUCUCUAUUCACCGAGAGAGGGGAGAGCAGCGCUGGUGGAAGAGGCGGGAGGGGGGGAGGGGGGGGGGGGGGGGGUGCUGAGGAGGAGGGCGAGGGAUGAAGGGAGGAAGGAGGGAGUGUGGGAGAGGAGAAACGUGUAAUCACCCAAACAACCAUUUUUACCCAUUUCACCCCCUCUGGAUCUGUGGCGCAAGUGCGCCGCCGGCUUAUGCGCGCCUCCGCUGCGGAUACGCCGACGUGAGGCCGGACCCCGCGGAAGACGCCGAGAGGGAGAAGAGACGGAGGCCGGAGCGGGACUCAACACACAACAUGUUUGUUACAUAUGUCGGCGGCGCUGCUUUAUUUGAAGAUGAAGACGGAAGUGAGGUUCGGCUCGAGACGAGCGCUCCCGCUCGCAACCGCCGGGACCUCGCUCCGUCAAAGCAAGAUCACAUCUCUUGCACAGGCUCACAUGCCGAGCACCUCUGA